UGCCUCGAAAGAAGCACCAGAACUAACGGGAGACGAGCGUUACAUGGCACAGAAAGACAAGAGAAACAUCGAUUUCGGUCUAAGAUGGAGAGAAAAAUACGAUUUUGAUGGCCGCCUAAAUGUAGAAAAGCUGGAAUCCCUUAUAAAACAAAUACAUAAGGAAUGUGGUAAUAAUGUGAAAAAGCAGGAUAAACAAGGGUUGUAUACAGCCAGGGUCUGGCUUACGGAAGCCAGGAAAAGAGUGGAAGUAGAUAAAAAGAAAAAAAAACAAGAUACUCUGCCCUCCGCUCCUACAGUGGAAAAAAAUGGUCAAUCGGGUGGGGGUGGGAAUCAAAACCUAUAUCCUUCUCUAGUGGACCAGGCAUACAGAGAGACUCCCGACGAUAAGGUGGUGAUGGCUCAGAGGAGAGGGCAAGUGCCGCUCCGUGCUGAGCCUCCUCCAGCUUAUGAUCUGGGAGCGAACGGUAUGAGUCCAGAGGGGCAGAAAAGCACAGAGAAAGAGCAAGAACUGAUUAGAACAGUAUUGAGAAGGGUAAACAUGGAAAGGGCAUUGGUAGAGACUCAGACAGUGAAGGAAGAAAAUAGGUCGGGUAAGGAAAAAUAUCAGACACCUUCACCGAAUCAAAACCGAUCAGGACUACUUAGAAAACCCUCCGAUAUAGGAGAGAAAAAUAGACCGCGGCCUGGGAGAGAUUUACAGUACUAUAGCAGGGAAGAAGACAGUGCAGAGAGAGAGGGGCAGUUUCCCCUGAUAGAGCUGCCCAACCCCCAAGCUGAGAUAGAGAAUAACGAACCCACGGUUCGGGUCUAUCGACCCUGGACACAGAGAGACGUAGAAAUGGCAGUAGAAGGAAUUCCACACCCAAAAACAGGAAUGGCAGGUUUUGAAAGAGAUCUCAACGGACUAGCGUCCAGUUUCAGGCUAAACACAGGGGAGGUGGAAAGAGCAGUUAGAACCAUAGUGGGAAAGGAUUGGUUUGCUGCGCGCGGAGCCUGGGUGCCAACAGGGAAUAAUGGGGACAUCAUACAGUGGAGCGCGGGACUUGGGGAGCCAUUUAGAGUGAAAAUUACAGAACUAUGCGCGAACCUAACUGAACAUUACCACCGACACGCCGACUUCUCUAAGUUUUAUGCCCAGCAGGAGAACUACGGAGGGAGGUGGCACACGAGAUUCAACCAGGAGACUGGAUCUGGGUCCAAUCGCUAAAGAGAAAAAACUGGAAACAGCCUCGGUGGGAGGGACCAUUCCAAGUACUACUGGUGACUGCCUUCGCUGUGAGAUUAGCCGAAAGAGCUACCUGGGUACAUAUCACACAUUGUAAGAGGGUAAGUCACACUAGCACUGUCAGACGAUCACAGGAGUAGGAGAGGAACCGUGACCCAUAUGGAAUGGGGGUCAAACUCCUUCUGAAGAUUCCCUAUACCCGACCUUUCCCCAGCUGUGAGCGUUCAUAGAAGUGAAGUGAUGGCUUGGCCUCUGGCUGUUGAUAUGUUCUCGGGGAGAGGGUGGGGCUUCACGUGCGCACUGACCGUCCUGAGCUGUUUUAUUGUGGGGGCCAUAUUCCUGAUUCACCAUGAUCCCCCGGAAAGUGCCAAAGAGGAUAAUUUGACUCAUGUGCUAGAUGAGGGAAAUGGGAUGUUACCUAAGAUUCUCAGAAGGUCACUGAAACAAAAUAGUAAGGAAGUGAGGGUGGAAUUGGGCAAGGAUCUCUCAGUAGAAUUUUGUGUAGAUCAAUUGGGGUCAUUCACCCCUUGGCAGUCUAGAACCAUGGGACUCUAUGGGAAGUAUUUGUGUAAAUCACCGUGUAAGUCGUGGAGCCAGGUCAUAGCUCACACUGAAAGGGAUGGCUACGUAAACCCAUACACUCAAUUUGGGACCAGGUGGAGUAUAGUAAGGGUUGGCGUUUUGGACUGUGUUCCCGAACAGAGGAAGUAUUGUAUAAAGGUGCGAAUUAACAUUAAGGCGGUCAAUACUCAGGAUCUCGGGUUAUGGUAUGUGGGCUUCGACCAGUUUUCAACUGAUACUAUGGUACCGUUCCAGGUGGCAGAAGUUAGAGUUGAUAAAGAGAAUAUGAUUGGCCGAAGUUCAACCAAUCCCUCUAACACAACGGCUAUUCCUAGUGUAAUCAUCCAGGGUAAAGGAGCAGUACGAAUAGUUCAGACCAAGGACCUUAAUUAAAGAAGUUAUAGAGGUGGAGACUGGGUUUGGGGAGUCCAACUUAUGGUUGGAAUGGAUUCAAUAUACGGCCAGAUCAGUGGCCAAAGAAGAAUGCUAUGCCUGUGCGAACGCUAAACCACAGUUAACAACUAUCCCUUUCCCACUGAACGGAAUUAAUUCCCCUAAGGGAAUGGCAUGUAUGGUAAAGCUGUUCAUGAAAGCAGGAAUGCCAAAUAAUGAUAGUUGUAUUGAUUUACACUAUUUAUAUCCCCAGGUUCCACUUAAAUCAAGACUUCCUCCCUUUACCGUGACGAGAGGAGAAUAUUACUGUUUGGCCAGAUACAGUACACACGGGAAAUACGUGGGGGAAGUUGGUACCUGCAAUAAGACAGAGAAUAUUACCACUGACGAGACCAUGUCUGAUUUGACAGGCUGGUUGAACUCUGGAGAUUUCAAAAUGUUGAAGGUGGCCAGGGCUGACAUCUGGUGGUUGUGCGGAGGAAUGAGUUUGUGGCCGGUAUUACCGACUGAUCUGAUUGGACUGGACUAUGUGCUUUAGUACAUUUAGGAAUGCCUUUUACACUCAUACAACACCAAGACAUGAAGUUAGCCAAACGAGAGAGAAGAGAUGCUCCAUCUGGGUCUUUUGACGACAGAGUAUAUAUUGAUAACAUUGGGGUUCCACGAGGGGUGCCGGAUGAGUUCAAGGCAAGAAAUCAGAUACUAGCAGGAUUAGAGUCAAGUAUUUUUUGGUGGUCUACUCUCAAUAAGAAUGUAGACUGGAUUAAUUAUAUUUAUUAUAAUCAACAGCGCUUUAUCAAUUAUUCCAGAGAUGCGAUUAAAGGGUUGGCAGAACAGACUGAAGCAACCAGCCUGAUGGCUUGGCAGAAUAGAAUUGCAUUGGAUAUGUUAUUGGCUGAAAAGGGAGGAGUAUGUGUGAUCUUCGGGAACAUGUGUUGUACUUUCAUCCCGAAUAACACAGCUCCGGACGGAUCUGUGACCAAAGCCUUAGCUGGUUUGACCACCCUGGCUCACGAGUUGGCAGAAAACUCUGGGGUGGAUCCUUCCCUGACUAAUUGGUUUGAUAGUACAUUUGGAAAAUGGAAAAGUGUGGUAAUCACGGUGUUUUGGGCUGUAUCUACCUGUAUGACUGUUUUAAUUUUAUGUGGCUGUUGUCUAAUUCCCUGUGUGCGAGGCCUUGUUUCCAGGACUCUGGAAAGAUCAAUGACCCUACAGAUGGUGCGUUAUGGGCCGAUUCCAGGUUCUGACCUGUGGAGGACUGAAGGCAUGUCUACAGAGGAAGUGGACGAAUCCGGAUCUGUCAUUUGUGGGGAAUUUAUGUUUGAUGAGGCUAGUGUUGAGAUAAAAGGGAAUUAGAUUGUAAUUGGUUUCCAUGAUUAAACUGUUUUUUUAAUGAAGGUCGUGACGAAAAUCCGGAAGGAAGAGUUAUGAUUCUGAUGUAGGUUUAAAAACAGUUGGAGUUAAGGUUAGAAUUGAUUAAUGAAAUGUGAAGAGUUGGAUAAACAUUUAUAAUUGAUUUGUUGAUUAUUUGUCUAUUCAUAUGAUAAUCUGAUAAACCUCUAUAAAAAGGUUAGUUAAGUUCGUUUAUACAUUCAUUUUUUAUGAUUAAAUAAAACUAGAUGUAGAAUUGAAUGUAUAAUAUUUGAUCAAACGGAGGAUUGUUAGAGGAAAAUAUAGUUUAGAUGAUCAAUUAUGUAUACAUUAAUGAUUAGAACCAUUUAUGCUAAUACUAUUAUGUUAUGAUUUGAAAAGUAUGGGUUCUUAAUUGUACUGUUACUGAAAAUGUAAGCAGAAAUGAAUUGUGUCUGUGUCUCCUGGGAAAGUUUAAGAAGGAGGGAUAAGAUAGUUUUUCAAACAGAUAAGAAUGUUUUGGUUGGAUUCCAUUAGGGAGAGAAGUAUAUCCUUUAGACAGGUUGGAAUGUAGUUUAUGAGGGGAGUGAAACUAUCUCCAGGACCGAAUACUACACCAUUGUAAGGCUGGGAGAGGGUGUGAAACUGAUGACGUCAUUUUAUGUCUUCUUUCUUUAAAAUGUAAUGUUCUUUGUAUUUUGGGUCAGUACUCACUUGAAUUAAACGCUAUUUACCUGGC
Long non-coding RNA from Oncorhynchus nerka (sockeye salmon), 4268 nucleotides. RefSeq lists it as uncharacterized. NCBI's taxonomy places the organism in Eukaryota, Metazoa, Chordata, Actinopteri, Salmoniformes, Salmonidae. The record is from RefSeq and is a predicted model, not a curated record. The transcript has 2 exons.